Molecule: ribosomal RNA, 460 nt
Filed under: uncultured bacterium
Lineage: Bacteria
Description: partial 16S ribosomal RNA
Rfam family: Bacterial small subunit ribosomal RNA
Source: RNAcentral
CCUACGGGGGGCAGCAGUGAGGAAUAUUGGUCAAUGGACGCAAGUCUGAACCAGCCAUGCCGCGUGCAGGAAGACGGCUCUAUGAGUUGUAAACUGCUUUUGUACGAGGGUAAACGCAGAUACGCGUAUCUGUCUGAAAGUAUCGUACGAAUAAGGAUCGGCUAACUCCGUGCCAGCAGCCGCGGUAAUACGGAGGAUUCAAGCGUUAUCCGGAUUUAUUGGGUUUAAAGGGUGCGUAGGCGGUCGGAUAAGUUAGAGGUGAAAUCCCGAGGCUCAACUUGGGGAUUGCCUCUGAUACUGUUCGGCUAGAGAGUAGUUGCGGUAGGCGGAAUGUAUGGUGUAGCGGUGAAAUGCUUAGAGAUCAUACAGAACACCGAUUGCGAAGGCAGCUUACCAGGCUACUUCUGACGUUGAGGCACGAAAGCGUGGGGAGCGAACAGGAUUAGAUACCCCUGUAGUC